This 268-nucleotide unclassified non-coding RNA is filed under the name air metagenome. RNAcentral describes it as "partial contains small subunit ribosomal RNA, internal transcribed spacer 1, and 5.8S ribosomal RNA". The stretch from base 1 to 46 matches the Rfam family "Eukaryotic small subunit ribosomal RNA", at positions 1786 to 1831 of the family's 1831-position model. The record is from RNAcentral.
AAGUCGUAACAAGGUUUCCGUAGGUGAACCUGCGGAAGGAUCAUUACUGAGUCCUAAUCCGACAUUUUUUUGCUGUGCAUUUACUUGCACGCUCGAAUAUGUUGGCUCUUCUGACUUACACACCUGUGCACUUUCGGACAAGCCUUUUGUAGGCGAGUCUGCUUUUUUACACCUUUUUGAAUGUCCUUUGUAAAAUUAUCAGUCGCUCUGUGAUGGAGUUGAUUGUACAAGUUAAAUACAACUUUCAGCAACGGAUCUCUUGGCUCUC